AGUGAACGCUGGCGGUAGGCCUAACACAUGCAAGUCGAACGGCAGCACAGUAAGAGCUUGCUCUUACGGGUGGCGAGUGGCGGACGGGUGAGGAAUACAUCGGAAUCUACUUUUUCGUGGGGGAUAACGUAGGGAAACUUACGCUAAUACCGCAUACGACCUACGGGUGAAAGCAGGGGAUCUUCGGACCUUGCGCGAUUGAAUGAGCCGAUGUCGGAUUAGCUAGUUGGCGGGGUAAAGGCCCACCAAGGCGACGAUCCGUAGCUGGCCUGAGAGGAUGGUCGGCCACACUGGAACUGAGACACGGUCCAGACUCCUACGGGAGGCAGCAGUGGGGAAUAUUGGACAAUGGGCGCAAGCCUGAUCCAGCCAUACCGCGUGGGUGACGAAGGCCUUCGGGUUGUAAAGCCCUUUUGUUGGGAAAGAAAAGCAGCAGGUUGAUACCCCGCUGUUCUGACGGUACCCAAAGAAUAAGCACCGGCUAACUUCGUG
RNAcentral lists this ribosomal RNA (492 nucleotides) under uncultured bacterium. RNAcentral's name for it is "partial 16S ribosomal RNA". It matches the Rfam family "Bacterial small subunit ribosomal RNA", at positions 29 to 507 of the family's 1533-position model. The record is from RNAcentral.